AUUGAACGCUGGCGGUAGGCCUAACACAUGCAAGUCGAGCGGCAGCACAGAGGAGCUUGCUCCUUGGGUGGCGAGUGGCGGACGGGUGAGGAAUACAUCGGAAUCUACUCUGUCGUGGGGGAUAACGUAGGGAAACUUACGCUAAUACCGCAUACGACCUACGGGUGAAAGCAGGGGAUCUUCGGACCUUGCGCGAUUGAAUGAGCCGAUGUCGGAUUAGCUAGUUGGCGGGGUAAAGGCCCACCAAGGCGACGAUCCGUAGCUGGUCUGAGAGGAUGAGCAGCCACACUGGAACUGAGACACGGUCCAGACUCCUACGGGAGGCAGCAGUGGGGAAUAUUGGACAAUGGGCGCAAGCCUGAUCCAGCCAUACCGCGUGGGUGAAGAAGGCCUUCGGGUUGUAAAGCCCUUUUGUUGGGAAAGAAAUCCAUCUGGUUAAUACCCGGGUGGGAUGACGGUACCCAAAGAAUAAGCACCGGCUAACCUCGUGCCAGCAGCCGCCGUAA
This 506-nucleotide ribosomal RNA is filed under the name uncultured bacterium. Its description in RNAcentral is "partial 16S ribosomal RNA". It matches the Rfam family "Bacterial small subunit ribosomal RNA", at positions 30 to 523 of the family's 1533-position model. The record is from RNAcentral.